Paramuricea clavata is the source of this 1413-nucleotide non-coding RNA. Lineage: Eukaryota; Metazoa; Cnidaria; Anthozoa; Malacalcyonacea; Plexauridae. The record is from the annotation of a GenBank genome assembly.
CUAGAACCAUUUGUUGCACUUUUCUGUCUUACACCGCAAGACAGUUGCGCUUCGUGGGUACUGUAUACUAUCAGAACAAUACCAUCGGAAAUAGAACACACACGCGUACUUUAAAACAUAUUUAUUUAAAACUAUUCAAACGAUAAAAUACAUAACAUGACAAUCCAUCUGGUUUUCUCUCGUGCUUUCAGUCUGACAAUCAAUUCGAAGUCUAACAUUUAUGACAUACGAUACCAUUUCUUACGUCAAUCAACUAAAUCACCCAUUGUUUGGUCUCCUACGGUGUUAUCAAUAGUAUAAUGUUACAAAUUAUUCUACACACUCCCCCCUUUGAGCCUGUAAGGGUCAAACAUGACUUGUGUUCUCCAACGUGCAUCCAACGCAGCUGCUCUCCUAGGUCUAUUACUAUGGACACAGCUUUCCACCUUACCCUUCUCUCCGUCUUUCUCAUUCAUUUCCGUCUUUCCUUUCUCAUUAAUUUUCGUCUUUCCUUUCUGGUUAUCAUACCCAUCCACUUCAUUUUCAACUUUAUUAUCCUUUCUUUCUUCCGUACUGCUUCCGUUCUCAUUUAACUCUACAGGAUACAAUUUCUGAACUGGUCUAUUAAGAUAUACUGGAUUUCCUUUAGUCAUCACUCUCACUUUCGCUCCUCGAACAACUUCAUCUUUACCGACAAUUAAACUCUCAAUCCUACCUAACUUCCAAAAUCCUCUCUUAAGGUUCUCGUCAAAUACUAAAACUACAUCUCCCUUCUUCACGUUCCUAUCCCUCUUCUCCCUCUUGCUUCUAUGAUGCUCUCUCAAAUUCGUCAAAUAUUCUUUUCUCCAUCUCUCCCAAAAGUGAACUCGCAGUUUCGCUAGAUGCCUAAACCUACGCUUAACCUUUGUCUCAUCAUUCUCUUCAAUUUUGUAACUAGUCUCGUCUGGAAUUAAACUCAAUCUACGACCAAAGAUCAAAUGAUUCGGUGUUAGUACAUCGUUUUCAACCUCAUCGUAAAUGUAGGUUAACGGCCUCGAAUUCAACGUGCCUUCAACCUCAACUAAAGUUGUCAACAGUUCUUCGAAUGUCAACUUGGCAUUCCCCAGCACCUUACGUAAACACCUCUUCACCAAACCAACCAACCUUUCAAAGAAUCCUCCCCACCAAGGCGCUCUCUCUAAAUUAAACUGCCAUUUCACACAAUUAUCUUGCAUAUAAGCUCUCACAUUCCCGCUCUCGUACAACUUCUUCACUGCUUUCUGUGCCGCCUUAAAAGUUUUAGCAUUGUCUGAAACAAUAAGCGUCGGUGCCCCUCGCCUGCUUGCAAAUCUCCUCAAACAGUUCAAGAAACUAGGCGCACUAAGAUUUCUUACCAAAUCCAAGUGAACUGCCCUCGUGACACAACACGUGAACAACGCUAUGUACACCUUCACC